Molecule: long non-coding RNA, 217 nt
Filed under: Bos taurus (domestic cattle)
Lineage: Eukaryota; Metazoa; Chordata; Mammalia; Artiodactyla; Bovidae
Description: long non-coding RNA NONBTAT000156
Source: RNAcentral
AUCAUCAAUUGGAUUCUUUUGUAAGUAACAUUUUUAACACAUUGAAAAUAAUUUGUCAUGUCAACAGUUUUUUAUAAUUCUGAAUAUUGUUUUUUAAUGAGCAAUGUACUUAACAUUUAAGAGUUUAGCACCUCUCCAUUGAUUUUCUCAAAAUAUCUGUUUGGCAAUGACAGGAAAAUAGAUUUUAACUUAGUGUUUUCUGUUAACUUUACAUGAG